RNAcentral lists this ribosomal RNA (403 nucleotides) under uncultured bacterium. RNAcentral's name for it is "partial 16S ribosomal RNA". It matches the Rfam family "Bacterial small subunit ribosomal RNA", at positions 30 to 526 of the family's 1533-position model. The record is from RNAcentral.
AUUGAACGCUGGCGGCAGGCCUAACACAUGCAAGUCGAACGAGCGGCGGACAGGUGAGAAAUAUAUGGGGACUGCCCUAUAUAGAGGGAUAACUACUGGAAAAGGUAGCUAAAACCGCAUCCUAUCGGGUACCACAAAUGUGAUUAGCUAGUGGGUGAGGUAAUGGCUCACCCAGGCGACGAUCCCUAGCUGGUCUGAGAGGAUGAGCAGCCACACUGGGACUUAGACACGGCCCAGACUCCUACGGAGGCAGCAGUGGGGAAUAUUGCACAAUGGGCGCAAGCCUGAUGCAGCCAUGCCGCGUGUAUGAAGAAGGCCCUCGGGUUGUAAAGUACUUUCAGUUGGGAGGCGUUACCGACAGAAGAAGCACCGGCUAACUCCGUGCCAGCAGCCGCGGUAAUAC